RNAcentral lists this ribosomal RNA (478 nucleotides) under uncultured bacterium. RNAcentral describes it as "partial 16S ribosomal RNA". It matches the Rfam family "Bacterial small subunit ribosomal RNA", at positions 28 to 523 of the family's 1533-position model. The record is from RNAcentral.
GACGAACGCUGGCGGCAUGCCUAACACAUGCAAGUCGAGCGAGCAGAUCCCUUCGGGGUGAAGCUAGCGGCGGACGGGUGAGUAACACGUGGGCAACCUGCCUCAUAGAGGGGAAUAGCCUUCCGAAAGGAAGAUUAAUACCGCAUAAGAUUGUAGCUUCGCAUGAAGCAGCAAUUAAAGGAGCAAUCCGCUAUGAGAUGGGCCCGCGGCGCAUUAGCUAGUUGGUGAGGUAACGGCUCACCAAGGCGACGAUGCGUAGCCGACCUGAGAGGGUGAUCGGCCAGAUUGGGACUGAGACACGGCCCAGACUCCUACGGGAGGCAGCAGUGGGGAAUAUUGCACAAUGGGGGAAACCCUGAUGCAGCAAUGCCGCGUGAGUGAUGACGGCCUUCGGGUUGUAAAGCUCUGUCUUCGGGGACGAUAAUGACGGUACCCGAGGAGGAAGCCACGGCUAACUACGUGCCAGCAGCCGCAGUAA